AUGGCAGGAGCCGGGGGUGGGGGCGCGGAGGCACGAUGCGCGCAGGCAGCGGCGGGCACGAGCCCAGUGCCUGGAGAAGGAGGAGCUAGCCUGAGAAGGAGGGCUAAUGAGGUUCCUAGGAAUAGGAGACCCCCAACCCCCAAUCCUGGUCAAGCCACCGCUGCCCUCUGGGCACCUGGGGCAGCGCAGCUGGAGAGGCGCGGGGCGUCCCAGUGAGCCCCGGAGAGCCGCUGCCCGCGCCCACACCGCGCUGGAGGAGCAAAGCCCACGCCCCGCCUGGAGCUGCUCUCCGAAGGCCACGAGCUUCCUGAUGUGAGGGUUAGGGGGGCGCUGCUGGUGUGUGUGGGUGAGGAUCCCAGAAUGGUACGUGUCUGUGAGGCCCUAGGUCCCGCGGACCGUUCCCUGCCGCUGGUCCUUGGACUUCAUCCCCGGUGGAGCAAUGUGGCUGCCUGGAAGAGCUCUCUGUGGAACAGAGUGAGUUAACUGCCUGAACUUGGAGAGCCUGGCCUGGUGUUGGUGACUAAGCUUUUUCUACCUGCUUCCCUUGGAACAUGUCCUGGAGAAGAUGACCCUGAAAACUGAUAGCUAAUUGGUUGCCAGUAAAUCCAUCCCAUCCAUGCUUGGCCAGUGCAGAAACCUCUUGUGUUGAGCCCAUUUGAUUUACUCAUCCAAAUUGGAUUGGAGCAAGAGGAACAUUGCCUCUCUAGGAUCCAAGGCCAUAUGAUUUCCAAGACUAAAAGAAAGCAGAAAAAUUUGUAGACCUUUUAUUUCUGUUGUAUUUUUCUUAUAUCUCAUAACACUGUGUAACUUUUUAAAAUAUGGUUAAAAACUGUUGCUUUCAUUUCUACAGAUGAAUUGUUUCUGCUUUUCCAACACCUCUGUGCGCCUACAGGAAGUCAUAACACUUGAAAAUUUCUUAUAGUAAGCAAAUGGUAUAUAGUUAAGAGUAUAUUGUAGGUGAUUCUUUUUACAGUAUAGGGCAGCUAGUAUAGAGACAACUGGUCAACCUUCAGAGCAUAAAAGACUGUGGAAUUAUCAACUCUAAAUAAGUCAGCUACAUCACACCACUCCUUUUAAGUGUCAGGGGCCAUAACAGAAAAGAGAGUUGAACAACUGUAAGAGACAGAGGCAGUAGAAAUCUGUUAGACAGGACAAGGUCAUUGCACACAUGGACUCAUAAGAGCUGUGACUGAAUGUACAAGACCUGCACAAGAUCAAACUAGACAAAUGCUAGCAAAUGAUCAUGAAGUCCCUGCCCACACUGAAAAACUACGGGCAACUGAUGGCUGCCUGGGGGAGAGAGUAAGUUUUCUUCAGGGAUGAGGCCAAAAGACCACCCAUGCUCCAAAAGAUAACCCUACAACCAAGUUCAUAUAGACAAGAACUAAGUGGAUUUAGUGGGUUAAAAAAAUGAGCAUAUGAAGUUAGGAGGUGAAAUUGUUCAGAGAGAUUGUGCAGGAAUUCGAGGGUGGGGAAAAGGGAGUGGAUUUGAUCAAAAUAUAUUGCAUGCAUGUAUAAAAUUCCUAAACAACUAUUCAAAGUUUAUAAAAAGAUAAUAUAUGAUUGUUAAAACAAUAUGUGUAUAAUAAAAAGCUAUGUUAAAUAACUGAUUAAGUAAAAUAAAUGAGAACACUUUAAUAGCA
This is a long non-coding RNA of Mesocricetus auratus (golden hamster), 1643 nucleotides long. RefSeq lists it as uncharacterized. NCBI's taxonomy places the organism in Eukaryota, Metazoa, Chordata, Mammalia, Rodentia, Cricetidae. The transcript is spliced from 2 exons. The record is from RefSeq and is a predicted model, not a curated record.